This 438-nucleotide ribosomal RNA is filed under the name uncultured bacterium. RNAcentral describes it as "partial 16S ribosomal RNA". It matches the Rfam family "Bacterial small subunit ribosomal RNA", at positions 339 to 795 of the family's 1533-position model. The record is from RNAcentral.
CUACGGGGUGCUGCAGUGAGGAAUAUUGCACAAUGGGGGGAACUCUGAUGCAGCAACGCCGCGUGGAGGAUGACGCAUUUCGGUGUGUAAACUCCUUUUAUAUGUCAAGAAAAUGACGGUAGCAUAUGAAUAAGCACCGGCUAACUCCGUGCCAGCAGCCGCGGUAAUACGGAGGGUGCAAGCGUUACUCGGAAUCACUGGGCGUAAAGGACGCGUAGGCGGGUUGGAAAGUCAGGUGUGAAAUCCUACAGCUUAACUGUAGAACUGCACUUGAAACUUCUAAUCUAGAGUAUGGGAGGGGAGAUGGAAUUAGUGUAGUAGGGGUAAAAUCCGUAGAUAUCACUAGGAAUACCUAAAGCGAAGGCGAUCUCCUGGAACAUUACUGACGCUAAGGCGUGAAAGCGUGGGGAGCAAACAGGAUUAGAUACCCCUGUAGUC